Molecule: non-coding RNA, 259 nt
Organism: Pelobates cultripes (western spadefoot toad)
Lineage: Eukaryota; Metazoa; Chordata; Amphibia; Anura; Pelobatidae
Source: the annotation of a GenBank genome assembly
CGGCAUGGCAUCUCCUAACUAUUUUACAGCCGUUCCCUCUUGUUGACAGCCUUCUUAAUGCACCUUAGAUUGGACAGUUAACACUUGGAGGUAUGAGACUCCUGUCACUAGGUGACCAUAAUGGACAGGCCUGCCCAUUAUGGGCAUAACCAGUGACAAAGUCCUUCCUCAAUAAGAAGAAAGAGGACGCCCACUGGACCACUAAUGAACUUGGGGUUUAGCCCUAUUUAAGGAGACUUGAGGGUGGGGGUUGUCAGGC